Molecule: long non-coding RNA, 1347 nt
Organism: Spodoptera frugiperda (fall armyworm)
Lineage: Eukaryota; Metazoa; Arthropoda; Insecta; Lepidoptera; Noctuidae
Exons: 2
Source: RefSeq, a predicted model, not a curated record
AUCUAUACAUAUAAUAAAAUCGUAGAAAAGUGCUGUCUGUACAUUGAAAAUAAAAAUAAAAAAAAUAGCAGGGGUUAUUGUUAUGUCGAUGUCGAACCCAAAAAUGUAAUUAACUUUUUUUUUGUCUGUUUGUCUGUUUGUCUGUUCGUCUGUGCGCGCUAAUCUCAGAAACGGCUGAUCCGAGUUGGAUGCGGUUUUCACGAAUAUAUUGUGGGAUGCUUAAAUUUACAUUUAGUGUUUGUUUCAUGUCAAUCGGUUCAUAAAUAAAAAAGUUAUGUCAAAUUAAAGAAUCACGUCGAACAUUCUAUGCUUAUACCAUUAAUCUCCGCAACUAUUUGACGGAUUUGGUUGAAAUUUGGUACAGAUAUAGUUUAGAACCUUAGAAAGGACAUAGAUAUAUUUUUAUUUCAAAAAUCAAAAAAUAAAAAUAAGAAAUAAAUUAUUUAUAAAUAAUUCUAUGUCGAUCGUUACACGACUUCGGUUCAUGUUAUUGUUUUAAUUCAUCGAAAAAAGUAAAUAAAUAGUAAAAAGGUAUGAAAAAAAUAAUAUCAAUAUAAUAAAACAUUUAGUACAAAGAAAAUGCUCUAACGGAGUAUAGAUAAUUCUAUGUCGAUCGUUACACGACUUCGGUUCAUGUUAUUGUUUUAAUUCAUCGAAAAAAAGUAAAUAAAUAGUAAAAAGGUAUGAAAAAAAUAAUAUCAAUAUAAUUAAACUUUUAGUACAAAGAAAAUGCCCGAACGGAGUAUAAAUAAAUAAUCCAAGUUGUCUUUAUCCUCGAUAGAUGGCGUUGGGAUCGAAAUAGAUCGCGCUAUGGUUUCGUUACAUUCAUUUGGUUGGGUAUCGGCCGAGCGCUUCGGUACUAUCGUAGAAAAAGUGUAUUAUCAGUCGUAUGAUUAUAUUAUUUGUCUGUAGUGGUCCUGCUGUUUCGUAUAUUCUAAAUUGGUUUCGUUGUAUUUGUCAAUUAAUAAGUUUAUUUGUUGGGUUUUCCUGGUUUUUUGGUUAAACUAUUUAACGUAGGUUUAGUUUGAUAUCGAUUAUUAGUAGUUACUGUAGUUAGUUUUUUUUAAUAAAAUUGUAAGUCUAAUUUAUAAAUUAAUUAGAUUAGAUUUAAGUCGUUUCUUUUAAAUUAUUUAGUUUAAGCUUGGUUAUUAUAGCAUAAAGGAUAGGUUCUAAUAUAAUUUCUUUUUUAAUUGUUAUUAAUUCGUAAUUCGUAGCUUUCUUUAGUUUUAAGUUAGUUUAAGUCCGUUUUUAAACUAUUUUUUCAAUGCCCUAAGUGAGUAUACAUCUAUUAAAAUCAAACGCAGAGCUCAUUAUGUUGAUUUUUGAAGAGUUCCCUGGAAUAUCUUC